GUAGCCUAGUGGUCAUGGCAUCUGCCCGGUAAGCGGAACAAUGUGGGUUCGAUUUCCAGUACA
Molecule: transfer RNA, 63 nt
Filed under: Cordylochernes scorpioides
Lineage: Eukaryota; Metazoa; Arthropoda; Arachnida; Pseudoscorpiones; Chernetidae
Description: tRNA-Thr
Source: RNAcentral